CCAGACUCCUACGGGAGGCAGCAGUGGGGGAUAUUGCACAAUGGGGGAAACCCUGAUGCAGCGACGCCGCGUGGGUGAAGAAGUAUUUCGGUAUGUAAAGCCCUAUCAGCAGGGAAGAAAGAAGACGGUACCUGACUAAGAAGCCCUGGCUAACUACGUGCCAGCAGCCGCGGUAAUACGUAGGGGGCGAGCGUUAUCCGGAUUCACUGGGUGUAAAGGGAGCGUAGACGGCCGUGCAAGCCAGGAGUGAAAGCCCGGGGCCCAACCCCGGGACUGCUCUUGGAACUGUGCGGCUGGAGUGCGGGAGGGGCAGGCGGAAUUCCUGGUGUAGCGGUGAAAUGCGUAGAUAUCAGGAGGAACACCGGCGGCGAAGGCGGCUUACUGGACUGUAACUGACGUUGAGGCUCGAAAGCGUGGGGAGCAAACAGGAUUAGAUACCCCAGUA
Molecule: ribosomal RNA, 445 nt
Filed under: uncultured bacterium
Lineage: Bacteria
Description: bacterial SSU rRNA
Rfam family: Bacterial small subunit ribosomal RNA
Source: RNAcentral